Long non-coding RNA from Amphimedon queenslandica, 255 nucleotides. RefSeq lists it as uncharacterized. The record is from RefSeq and is a predicted model, not a curated record. The transcript has 3 exons. Lineage: Eukaryota; Metazoa; Porifera; Demospongiae; Haplosclerida; Niphatidae.
AGUGUGUUGUGCAAGUUCACUGGUAAUGCAAAACUAGGAACAGUUAUACAAAGAGACUAUGACCAAUCCUUCAAUGAUGAUAAGAAGCUUAUUAAAGUUGUUAUUCCUGAUGAUGAUAUGAGCACUGAUACAUUAAGCACUGGAACAACUACACCAUCACCUACUCCACCUAAUAUACCAACUGUUGAGAUAGCCAUUCCUCAAUGCAUGAGUGUUGAAUUUGCUUCAAUACAAACGUCUUAUGGUCGAAUUGUA